Molecule: long non-coding RNA, 1917 nt
Filed under: Homo sapiens (human)
Lineage: Eukaryota; Metazoa; Chordata; Mammalia; Primates; Hominidae
Description: HSALNT0379673
Source: RNAcentral
CCAGGUGCUGGCUGGACAACCCCUUCUGGCUGCCUAAGCAGAUGGCAGAAGAAGGAAACAAGGUCAGAGGCAGAGUGUUGAACCCUGCCUCCCAGCCCCCACAUCACCCAACCAACCAGCAGAGAUCCUCCUUCCCAAGAAACAGAUAAAGAAACUGAGGCCCAGGAAGGCUAAGAGUCCUGCCAGGAUUAUUCACCUUUCAAGCAAGGCAAAGUACUCCAGGCCAUGGGGAGUCCCUGAAGACUCGAUGAACUGCAGUGGCCACAUCAGGAGGUUGCAGGUUAACCAGAACUCACCGACACAGCAGGAGAGCAGCUUGGAACCUGCAACCUAGCCAAAACCUAGUGCCUUGGAUUGGGGGAGAAAACAUGCAGCCAUUCCUCUCUCUCUGCUGGCUAGAGGGGAUUCUGGCUUUUCCUGCCAGAGCCACCCCUUUCCCUCCUCCUAAAGUUGAUGGUGGUUCUUUAAGGAAAGGGAGAAGUGCACGGUGUGAUAGGGCAGGAAGAGAAGAAAACGGAGGAGAGGAGGGGACUUUCCCAUAAGCAGGCAGAAGAAAAGGCAGCUGUGGUGUGUGAUGGACAUGGAUGCAGUGGUGUCCAAUGUGGGGUCAGCCCUAGAGGAGAGACAGAGAGAGAGACAGAAAAGUGAGAGAGUCCUGACCCUUAUGAUUAACAUGGGAUCUGCCUGCAAAUGCUGUUUAGGGUCAUCGCCUCUUCCUGUACCACUAUUUUUGAGAGUGAUGCUCCUGAGCCCCACGACCCAGUCAAAUUUGAUGUCCCCUUGAGCCAGAUUCAGUGCUGGGAGUCCAGUGUGAUCUGCCUGGAUCUUGCUGCAUUGAGAACAGGCCAGAUCUUGACCCCAAUACAGGGGCUGGAUAUGAACAGGCAACAGCUGAGUUUCUGAGUCAGAAAGACUUGGUUAAUUGCUAAUUGCUUAGGCAAGUAAUUUAAUUUUGUUGCAUCAGAUUCCUCAGCUACAAAAUGCACAUGACAGUACUUAUUCCUCCAGGUUGUGGGGAAAAUGGAGAUUCUAAGCACGAUGUCCAUUUCACAGAAAGAUACCAAUUUGGUGGCUUAUUUCCUUUCUACCUUCAGAAGUGGCUAUCCCUGCCACCCAAACAGACCCUUGACUCUCAAGUGGAUGUCCCAUUUGCACAGGGGGAGACCUUACAGCCUACGUUGAGUCUAUACUUACCACUUAGUGAGCAUGGUAUCUGCUCAGGGGCCUCUGUGGGCAUCUGUCUCCUCUGCAGCAUCUUUCCUCCCCACUGCUGGGUCUGCACAUGACCCCCUCCUUGGGUUAGGCCUCUGAUCAGUGAUGACCUUGGUAUGGUGGUAAUGGUCAGUCUUGGCAUCAAAUGAGCCAGUUUAUAUCAUCAGCUAUUCAAUAAAAUACUAAUCUAGGUGUCACCGUGAAAGUAUUUUGUGACAUUGUUAUGUACAUAUUGUUACAAAUGUGCAUGAUGCAUUUACUACAGCAUAGAAUUUUGCCUGGGUGCCACCCUGAAGUCUGUCCGACAGAUCAUAGCCAUGUUAGUCCCACAGUCGCAGGGGCCAAUUGAUUAAAUUAUUUUAUCUCCCUUGAGAACUAAAACUAAAAUCCUAAGCCCCCCACCCAACUUAACAGACCCCCUGUUGGCCAACGGAACCUCAAAUAAAUCUUAAAAUUCAGUUCUUGGCCAUGACAGGACAGGAAGUCAGACAUACCUCCCUGUACCUCCCUCCCUCUUAUGGUUUAGACCCAACAACUGAACAGCAUUGAUGUUAAAAUAGAGAUCAUGAGACUGACAGAACAGACUCUUUGUGGCAAUAAGACCUCAAAUUAUAAACAGGACCUAGGGCCAUGCCAGGCGAGGGUUAAGUCUUGUACCCUACUCUUAAAGAAUUAACUAGAUUCUAGCUACCACAUGGGUUUUAU